Lolium rigidum is the source of this 869-nucleotide long non-coding RNA. RefSeq lists it as uncharacterized. NCBI's taxonomy places the organism in Eukaryota, Viridiplantae, Streptophyta, Magnoliopsida, Poales, Poaceae. The record is from RefSeq and is a predicted model, not a curated record. The transcript has 4 exons.
UCUGCCAUCCUUAUGUGAAUAUAUUAAUGUUUUUGUUAGACUUUGCCAAAUCAUAUUGGAGGAUGGCAUCCCUUUUAGAAUGCAGACAUUAGAUUGUAAGAAAAUUCCUGUCGGAAUGGAGACCAUAUAUUUUCAGACCUCCAUCGAGCAGGCCAAGUUCACAUAUAUUUUCAGACGAGUAGGUUGUAACUGUGGCAUCAGUUGGUGAUUCACGCUGCAUACUAGAGUCCGCUGACGGUUCACUGUACCAUUUGUCAGCUGAUCUUCGCUUUGACUCCAACAGAGAUGAGGUAGAACGCGUCACUGCAUGUGGAAGCAAGGUUGGGCAAACUGAAUGUUGUUGGUGGUCCAGAGGAGUUUGCCAAUGACGCUGCCGGCGGCAGAAGUUCGGAGAUACGUGCAUACGGAGUUCGCAGAUGGGCUGUGUGGUGCUUUCGAUGAUGUUGUCUGUGUUUGUCAUGUGCACGCCGGCACCGCUAGUCCCGUCGUUGGCUAGGCAGGGCACUGCUCGACUCUGUGGACCUUCUCUGGGUCCAGCAGAGCAAGCACUUGUUGCAGGUGGGUACCAGACACACCCUGUCCAGCGGCAGGUAAGAGAGCCACUGUUGUAGCUUCUUGCUGUUAUUAUUAUUAACACUGCAAAUGUCUCAGUGCUCCUACUAAUUUGUGGUUGAUGCUUUGUUGAGAGAUCAUUGAUGUUGAUUGUCUGCUAUUUAAUAGAGAAACUAAUAGAAAAUGUUUGUCUAGAAGUGCACAUAGGAGAAAAUAGGCAGUUCUUUAUAUAUAAACUAAAUAAAAGUUCACUUCAUUUUGUAAGUUUACCUUUUUCUGUCGAAAAAGUUCAUCAUUUUGGGAGUUUCUUUGGUAUU